CCUACGGGUGGCAGCAGUGAGGAAUAUUGGUCAAUGGGCGAGAGCCUGAACCAGCCAAGUCGCGUGAGGGAGUACUGCCCUAUGGGUUGUAAACCUCUUUUGUCGGGGAGCAAUAAUGGUCACGUGUUGCCAGACGAGAGUACCGUACGAAUAAGCAUCGGCUAACUCCGUGCCAGCAGCCGCGGUAAUACGGGGGAUGCAAGCGUUAUCCGGAUUUAUUGGGUUUAAGGGGUGCGUAGGCUGUGAGGUAAGUCAGCGGUGAAAUGCCCCCGCUCAACGGGGUGAAGUGCCAUUGAUACUGCGUUGCUGGAAUGCGGAUGCCGUGGGAGGAAUGUGUGGUGUAGCGGUGAAAUGCAUAGAUAUCACACAGAACACCGAUUGCGAAGGCAUCUAACGAAUCCGCGAUUGACGCUGAUGCACGAAAGCGUGGGUAUCAAACAGGAUUAGAUACCCUUGUAGUC
This 461-nucleotide ribosomal RNA is filed under the name uncultured bacterium. RNAcentral describes it as "partial 16S ribosomal RNA". It matches the Rfam family "Bacterial small subunit ribosomal RNA", at positions 338 to 795 of the family's 1533-position model. The record is from RNAcentral.